AAGGAGUGCCUACAAAAUGGAACUGCAAGGAAGGCAAAGCUGGGAGGGGAUCUGUAGUAAAUGCCUAGCCUAGGUGCAUCCCUGGAGGUUUUCUGGCAGGAAUUUGAGCUUGCAGAGUCCUCAGUUCAAGUGUGCUUAUUGGGAGAUCCUGAUUGCAAGCCUCGGUUUUUAGAAGCUUAGCAAAAUGACACAAAUGGCCCUGAGGUGGUCCUCUAAAGGCCUUUCUCUUCCCCUGUUUGCUGCAAAGAGAGCUGGUAGCCACUAGAGGGGAGGAGACUGCCGGCUUUACUGAGCGCUCCAGCUACAGCUUGAAGGUGCAGAGGCUGUCACCAGACUGGUUGCCCAACGAAAUGGUUUAAAAUAUGUUAUGAAGGAAAGAAGAAAAAAGUGUAAUCAAAGCCAAAACUUGAUCCGAGUGACAAAAAAAAUUCUAAUCUUGGAGUUGAUAAAGACAGUGAUCAUAUACAGGUGGCAUGCUGUGGUCUGUGGUGGGGUAUGA
This 499-nucleotide long non-coding RNA is filed under the name Cyanistes caeruleus (blue tit). RNAcentral describes it as "lncRNA (ENSCCEG00000022604.1)". The record is from RNAcentral. Lineage: Eukaryota; Metazoa; Chordata; Aves; Passeriformes; Paridae.